This is a long non-coding RNA of Pseudophryne corroboree (corroboree frog), 2651 nucleotides long. RefSeq lists it as uncharacterized. The transcript is spliced from 4 exons. The record is from RefSeq and is a predicted model, not a curated record. Lineage: Eukaryota; Metazoa; Chordata; Amphibia; Anura; Myobatrachidae.
AGGGCUUGAACCAGGACUGGCUGACAGGGCUUCCAGAUGAGAUCUCAGUAACAUAAACCAGGAGCUCAGGAAACCAGCAGUAAUUCAUCCUAACGAUGGAGACCAUCAACCAUCCUCCCUCUCCAAUUAAAUUCACUUUUGUGAUAAGUCAGAAAAUAAUAAAUUUCCUGAAUGUGACAGUGACGAUUAAAGACGGACCACCUGGAAACAGUCGUUUUCUAUAAACCUACGGAUAGAAACACUCUUCUUGACGCAAGCAGCCAUCACUCCAAAGAUUUAAAGCAAGGACUUCCUUACUCACAAAUGCUAAGAAUAGCACGAAUAACCAGCAAUGCAGAAGAACUACCGGCAGCAUUGGAUGUGGUCAUCAAUAAAUUUAAGCAAAGAGGGUAUGACUCAACACAGCUAUCAAAAACUAAAGAUAAAGUCUUGAAAAUUCCCAGACGUGCACUGCUUCAAACCAGGGAACCAGCCGAUGUUAAAAACAAAUUCAUUUGUUUUUCCACUACCAGUCCCAUUAUUCCAAGAGCCACUAAGGCCCUGUGGCCAAUAGUUAAAACAAAUCCAAAUCUUUUUAGCUUUACACAUACAGAGCCCAUGACAAGUUUCAAGAGAAGUAGAAAUUUUAUGGACCACCUAGUUAAGGCAGACAUCACAGAUUACUCACCAUCUCUAGGCAUAUUUGGAUUUACAAAAAAAACAGGUUGCUACAGAUGCGCAUCCUGUACUACUUGCCAUUAUUUAAUUCCUGGUGCUUCAUUCAAACAUCCGUAUCUGCCGCCGGAGACCAGGGAGGCUUCCCUGGUUGUCAAGACAACCGGAAUCAGCCAAUGGUGGGCGUCGCCAGAAAUACAUCAUCGGAAGGGGGAAACGCCUACCCUGGCCACUUCCACACAGGGGUAUAAGGAGUCCAAGGGACAUCUGCAUUCAGGUCCCUUCAGUUUUAAAUCGUCAUGAGAACUCUGGAUCUUUUACCAUUUUGGACAGAUGAUAUUGUGUAACUUUAAGGCCAAGUAAAUAAAUUCUAUUGGCCCUAAUCAGUUCCUGUGACAGAUGACCUCACACAGAUAGUGACAACAGUCUCCAUCAAACUGCGUUUUCAACUGGAAACAUCUAAAUUCUGGACAAUCUGAGUCGUUCUAAAGUGGAGAUUUAUCCAACCUUUUAAAGACAAGUGGAGACAUUACUCAUAGUAACAAAUCAGAUUCUAGCCAUCAUUGUAUAAACUGUAUUAGACAAAUGAUAGAAUCUGAUUGGAUGCUAUGAGUAACACUUCCACUUGUCCUCUUUAGAAGGUCUUGGAGCUUCCAACUCACUUGUGCCAUACAGUAAAUACAUGCAAACUCAUAUAACAGUAUAAAAACUCAUGUAACGGUAUAUACAGUAUAACACUGUGCACCAAUGUAAGACUGGACUGCAUGGUCUUUUUCUGGAAAUAUUUUUUAGUUACUCACAUAAAGAUGCUGAUUUUGGAAAUGGUAUGUCUAAGCAUACACAGCAAAAUGAUAUGAGUUAACAGCUCAACUAUAUAAUGUACAAAAUGACAAGAGAACUAAUAAAAUCAGAAAGAAACAGAUGCACAAUAAUUGACAAUUUAUGCCCUGAGAGAGCAACACUUCAACAUUUUUAGUAUAUACUGAAGAUGUUGUUCCUGUGAGACAGUGAUUUUAUAAAGGAUGUAUUAUAUGAUGGGUAAUCAUGACUCCCAUAGACAGCUGUAUCUCACUAUACUAGACUCAGAAUGGUGCAUUUCAAACUAAGCAACCUAACACACCCUUUAUGAAGACCCAUUUCAAAAUAAAGAUAGCAAAAUGGUACCUUUUUCCCGUGAUAUCUAAUCUGUGUUCAUAUUUUAAAUGUGAAUACAACAUUAAAAUUAAUUUUAUAUUAUCCCUAUUUCCAAUAUAUAACUUGAAGUUACAUGUUAGGCCACAUAGGAGGAAGAGGCACAUGGACAGCCGGUAUGCCGCCCCUCGGUACACACUGAAACCCAUUAUUCCCCCAUAUGUAGCAUCAGACCUACAGCAGACUGCAAUGUAUCAAAAAAGUUUGACUUGCACCGCCUUUCAAAGCACAUGCAGGUUAUAUUAAAUGUAAAUUAAUUUAAUUAUGCAAAAUCUCUUGUUUAUUUUAAUUUUUUCGUGUUCCUAAAUCCAUAGAACGGAAUUAUACAAAUAAAUGAUUAUAUACAUAUUUGAAAAUAUUCCAGUGAAUUAGAAUAUUUUAAUUGUGAUAUCAGGUCAUUUUUUAAUUAGCUUAGCAAUCCACUUUCCUUUGCCAUUGGCGUUCUUCAAAGUGACAUUUUACUUUCCCAUAGACUUUUGAACACCAUGCCUCAAUCACUCUGCAUUCAGACGGGUGUAUGUAAAAUUCCAUUCAGACACACUACGGGAGAAUGCUUUGUUUUUACCAAAGCUCAUAUUGAUUACACAAAAUGUGUUAAUGAAAAUAAUUACAAUUAAGCUUCACAAAGAGCAGUUCUUUUAUGUGUUGAUGAGAUUGUACCAUACUCAAUGGUAGACAAUUAACUCAUGACAAAAUUAAUGUGCAGAAUUUAGAAAGCUACAUCUGAAUUAAAAACUUUGGAUUUUUUUUGUGUGUUCACCAUUUAACAAAGAAUAAAGAUAACAUUCAUAAACUUUAAAUUUUCU